AUUGAACGCUGGCGGCAUGCCUUACACAUGCAAGUCGAACGGCAGCACGGGAGCAAUCCUGGUGGCGAGUGGCGAACGGGUGAGUAAUAUAUCGGAACGUGCCCAGUCGUGGGGGGUAACGCAGCGAAAGCUGUGCUAAUACCGCAUACGAUCUAAGGAUGAAAGCGGGGGAUCGCAAGACCUCGCGUGAUUGGAGCGGCCGAUAUCAGAUUAGCUAGUUGGUGGGGUAAAGGCCCACCACGGCGACGAUCUGUAGCUGGUCUGAGAGGACGACCAGCCACACUGGAACUGAGACACGGUCCAGACGCCUACGGGAGGCAGCAGUGGGGAAUUUUGGACAAUGGGCGCAAGCCUGAUCCAGCAAUGCCGCGUGCAGGAUGAAGGCCUUCGGGUUGUAAACUGCUUUUGUACGGAACGAAACGGCCCUUUCUAAUACAGGGGGCUAAUGACGGUACCGUAAGAAUAAGCACCGGCUAACUACGUGCCAGCCGCCGCCGUAA
This 500-nucleotide ribosomal RNA is filed under the name uncultured bacterium. RNAcentral's name for it is "partial 16S ribosomal RNA". It matches the Rfam family "Bacterial small subunit ribosomal RNA", at positions 30 to 523 of the family's 1533-position model. The record is from RNAcentral.